UGCGUAACGCGAUAUGCAAUCUACCUUUCACAGAGGGAUAGCCCAGAGAAAUUUGGAUUAAUACCUCAUAGUAUUAUUGAGUGGCAUCACUUAAUAAUUAAAGUCACAACGGUGAAAGAUGAGCAUGCGUCCCAUUAGCUAGUUGGUAAGGUAACGGCUUACCAAGGCAACGAUGGGUAGGGGUCCUGAGAGGGAGAUCCCCCACACUGGUACUGAGACACGGACCAGACUCCUACGGGAGGCAGCAGUGAGGAAUAUUGGACAAUGGGCGCAAGCCUGAUCCAGCCAUGCCGCGUGCAGGAUGACGGUCCUAUGGAUUGUAAACUGCUUUUGUACGAGAAGAAACACUGCUUCGUGAAGCAGCUUGACGGUAUCGUAAGAAUAAGGAUCGGCUAACUCCGUGCCAGCAGCCGCGGUAAUACGGAGGAUCCAAGCGUUAUCCGGAAUCAUUGGGUUUAAAGGGUCCGUAGGCGGUUUAGUAAGUCAGUGGUGAAAGCCCAUCGCUCAACGGUGGAACGGCCAUUGAUACUGCUGAACUUGAAUUAUUAGGAAGUAACUAGAAUAUGUAGUGUAGCGGUGAAAUGCUUAGAGAUUACAUGGAAUACCAAUUGCGAAGGCAGGUUACUACUAAUUGAUUGACGCUGAUGGACGAAAGCGUGGGGAGCGAACAGGAUUAGAUA
This 680-nucleotide ribosomal RNA is filed under the name Flavobacterium succinicans. RNAcentral describes it as "bacterial SSU rRNA". It matches the Rfam family "Bacterial small subunit ribosomal RNA", at positions 107 to 784 of the family's 1533-position model. The record is from RNAcentral. Lineage: Bacteria; Pseudomonadati; Bacteroidota; Flavobacteriia; Flavobacteriales; Flavobacteriaceae.